Molecule: ribosomal RNA, 2903 nt
Filed under: Escherichia coli HVH 158 (4-3224287)
Lineage: Bacteria; Pseudomonadati; Pseudomonadota; Gammaproteobacteria; Enterobacterales; Enterobacteriaceae
Description: bacterial LSU rRNA
Rfam family: Bacterial large subunit ribosomal RNA
Source: RNAcentral
UUAAGCGACUAAGCGUACACGGUGGAUGCCCUGGCAGUCAGAGGCGAUGAAGGACGUGCUAAUCUGCGAUAAGCGUCGGUAAGGUGAUAUGAACCGUUAUAACCGGCGAUUUCCGAAUGGGGAAACCCAGUGUGUUUCGACACACUAUCAUUAACUGAAUCCAUAGGUUAAUGAGGCGAACCGGGGGGAACUGAAACAUCUAAGUACCCCGAGGAAAAGAAAUCAACCGAGAUUCCCCCAGUAGCGGCGAGCGAACGGGGAGGAGCCCAGAGCCUGAAUCAGUGUGUGUGUUAGUGGAAGCGUCUGGAAAGGCGCGCGAUACAGGGUGACAGCCCCGUACACAAAAAUGCACAUAUUGUGAGCUCGAUGAGUAGGGCGGGACACGUGGUAUCCUGUCUGAAUAUGGGGGGACCAUCCUCCAAGGCUAAAUACUCCUGACUGACCGAUAGUGAACCAGUACCGUGAGGGAAAGGCGAAAAGAACCCCGGCGAGGGGAGUGAAAAAGAACCUGAAACCGUGUACGUACAAGCAGUGGGAGCCUCUUAAUGGGGUGACUGCGUACCUUUUGUAUAAUGGGUCAGCGACUUAUAUUCUGUAGCAAGGUUAACCGAAUAGGGGAGCCGAAGGGAAACCGAGUCUUAACUGGGCGUUAAGUUGCAGGGUAUAGACCCGAAACCCGGUGAUCUAGCCAUGGGCAGGUUGAAGGUUGGGUAACACUAACUGGAGGACCGAACCGACUAAUGUUGAAAAAUUAGCGGAUGACUUGUGGCUGGGGGUGAAAGGCCAAUCAAACCGGGAGAUAGCUGGUUCUCCCCGAAAGCUAUUUAGGUAGCGCCUCGUGAAUUCAUCUCCGGGGGUAGAGCACUGUUUCGGCAAGGGGGUCAUCCCGACUUACCAACCCGAUGCAAACUGCGAAUACCGGAGAAUGUUAUCACGGGAGACACACGGCGGGUGCUAACGUCCGUCGUGAAGAGGGAAACAACCCAGACCGCCAGCUAAGGUCCCAAAGUCAUGGUUAAGUGGGAAACGAUGUGGGAAGGCCCAGACAGCCAGGAUGUUGGCUUAGAAGCAGCCAUCAUUUAAAGAAAGCGUAAUAGCUCACUGGUCGAGUCGGCCUGCGCGGAAGAUGUAACGGGGCUAAACCAUGCACCGAAGCUGCGGCAGCGACACUAUGUGUUGUUGGGUAGGGGAGCGUUCUGUAAGCCUGUGAAGGUGGCCUGUGAGGGUUGCUGGAGGUAUCAGAAGUGCGAAUGCUGACAUAAGUAACGAUAAAGCGGGUGAAAAGCCCGCUCGCCGGAAGACCAAGGGUUCCUGUCCAACGUUAAUCGGGGCAGGGUGAGUCGACCCCUAAGGCGAGGCCGAAAGGCGUAGUCGAUGGGAAACAGGUUAAUAUUCCUGUACUUGGUGUUACUGCGAAGGGGGGACGGAGAAGGCUAUGUUGGCCGGGCGACGGUUGUCCCGGUUUAAGCGUGUAGGCUGGUUUUCCAGGCAAAUCCGGAAAAUCAAGGCUGAGGCGUGAUGACGAGGCACUACGGUGCUGAAGUGACAAAUGCCCUGCUUCCAGGAAAAGCCUCUAAGCAUCAGGUAACAUCAAAUCGUACCCCAAACCGACACAGGUGGUCAGGUAGAGAAUACCAAGGCGCUUGAGAGAACUCGGGUGAAGGAACUAGGCAAAAUGGUGCCGUAACUUCGGGAGAAGGCACGCUGAUAUGUAGGUGAAGCGACUUGCUCGUGGAGCUGAAAUCAGUCGAAGAUACCAGCUGGCUGCAACUGUUUAUUAAAAACACAGCACUGUGCAAACACGAAAGUGGACGUAUACGGUGUGACGCCUGCCCGGUGCCGGAAGGUUAAUUGAUGGGGUUAGCGGUAACGCGAAGCUCUUGAUCGAAGCCCCGGUAAACGGCGGCCGUAACUAUAACGGUCCUAAGGUAGCGAAAUUCCUUGUCGGGUAAGUUCCGACCUGCACGAAUGGCGUAAUGAUGGCCAGGCUGUCUCCACCCGAGACUCAGUGAAAUUGAACUCGCUGUGAAGAUGCAGUGUACCCGCGGCAAGACGGAAAGACCCCGUGAACCUUUACUAUAGCUUGACACUGAACAUUGAGCCUUGAUGUGUAGGAUAGGUGGGAGGCUUUGAAGUGUGGACGCCAGUCUGCAUGGAGCCGACCUUGAAAUACCACCCUUUAAUGUUUGAUGUUCUAACGUUGGCCCGUAAUCCGGGUUGCGGACAGUGUCUGGUGGGUAGUUUGACUGGGGCGGUCUCCUCCUAAAGAGUAACGGAGGAGCACGAAGGUUGGCUAAUCCUGGUCGGACAUCAGGAGGUUAGUGCAAUGGCAUAAGCCAGCUUGACUGCGAGCGUGACGGCGCGAGCAGGUGCGAAAGCAGGUCAUAGUGAUCCGGUGGUUCUGAAUGGAAGGGCCAUCGCUCAACGGAUAAAAGGUACUCCGGGGAUAACAGGCUGAUACCGCCCAAGAGUUCAUAUCGACGGCGGUGUUUGGCACCUCGAUGUCGGCUCAUCACAUCCUGGGGCUGAAGUAGGUCCCAAGGGUAUGGCUGUUCGCCAUUUAAAGUGGUACGCGAGCUGGGUUUAGAACGUCGUGAGACAGUUCGGUCCCUAUCUGCCGUGGGCGCUGGAGAACUGAGGGGGGCUGCUCCUAGUACGAGAGGACCGGAGUGGACGCAUCACUGGUGUUCGGGUUGUCAUGCCAAUGGCACUGCCCGGUAGCUAAAUGCGGAAGAGAUAAGUGCUGAAAGCAUCUAAGCACGAAACUUGCCCCGAGAUGAGUUCUCCCUGACUCCUUGAGAGUCCUGAAGGAACGUUGAAGACGACGACGUUGAUAGGCCGGGUGUGUAAGCGCAGCGAUGCGUUGAGCUAACCGGUACUAAUGAACCGUGAGGCUUAACCUU